AAGAAUAUCAACUAGUAGGAUGUAUCCUGAAGUCCAUAUUCUGGAGAAAAUGGUUUUGUAUAAGGAUGAUUCGUUUCCUUUUUGAGUAGUUCAUGAUCAUUCUGAAAGAGAAUCCAAGUGGACACAACAAAACACACCUAUGCAAGGGUAUUGAUAUAUGCUUGGCUUUGUUAUUGGCUCAUUGCUGCAUCCAGCAAUUGCUUUCCUAAUGAUGUUUUCUCAUGUGAUGAUAGCUGAUGCAACGUGUAGAGAUCAGGACACGAACAAAUAUCUCAAGAAAAUAAAAUAAUACAACUCUCAAGCACACAGACAAUUGAUGGAAAAGCAAGAUAGCUUUAUUGAAAAUCUGGGGAAAAUUGAUAAGGACUACAAUGUAGCUAAUGAUGUAUU
RNAcentral lists this unclassified non-coding RNA (390 nucleotides) under Hevea brasiliensis (rubber tree). Lineage: Eukaryota; Viridiplantae; Streptophyta; Magnoliopsida; Malpighiales; Euphorbiaceae. The record is from RNAcentral.